AAUUCUGUUCAGGGCGGAGGAAGUGGGUGUGAACUUUAUGAGAAGGAAGUAAGAUAAAUGGGAGUUUUUCAGACGGAAAAAGUGAAUGGGGAACUCCAGACGGAGGGAACCCCUGGAGAAAAAGGCAGAGUCAUGAAAAUAUAGAGGCUGCUGAUCCCAGAGAAGAAACUGAGACAUGGGGAGGAUAAGAUCGUAGAGUUAUUAAGCAGAGUGGAUGGGACUCCCAUGCAGGCUGCCUGUCUCCAGAGCCCACCUCUUACCUGCCUGACCCUCUGGGAUUUCUGUGAAGUCUCAGUCAGACCCUGCAUGACAAGCGCUCCGCACAGUAUCACGCCCACGGUGAGCCUUCGUGAAUGGUAAUGCUCACAGGCACUUUAUCACAAGGUAUCCUGAGACCUUCCUCUAUCAAGUUGAACGACGUCUGGACAAGAGCAAAACAUCUGGCACCCACAAGUUCCCAAGUGGUUUCGAUAUUUUGAAUCCACAAUAUGCAGCUUGCGAGCUAUGCCGAUGCGGGGCUGUGGAGUGGUGCAGCUGAGAAGCGCCGUGGCAGGGCUGAGAAGCCUGAUUUCUCACCCUGGUCCCAUCUGUGACCUGAUGCACACCCUGCACAGGCCCUUCUCUGCCCUGGCCCCCCUGCUGUAAAAUGAGGGGCCUGGGGGAGGUAGUUUCUGAGGUUCCUUCCCCCUGCGACAGGCUGCGGUUCUUAAUUCACUGAGCCCCAGUCUCCUUGGUAAGGAUUCCAGGAAGGAUUUGGACUGGAACAACUGUUUUGUGUUCUCUUUUCCCAUUUAUUUAACUUCCUAUUUUAAAAAUAAGACCCACAUCCCUGACAACCUGAGUGUCAGGUUCAAGAGCAACGAUGGCGCUCAGACUGGUGUUGCUUUGGAAGCUUUGACUCUGCGUUCUUUCUGAGAAUAAUCAACCCAAUUCUACUUGGAACUUCACGGCAACAAACUCUUUGGGAUGCAAAAGCAUUUCCUUGCGGUUUCAUAGAGUUCGGGCCCUGCAGGACAAGGGCCUUAGGACAUGCCUAUUUACAUCGCUGGUUUGUCCCUGAUGUAAUUGGAAACAAUCUCUAAACGCUUUGGCAAGCAUCCUCUCCAGUUUCUGCACAGCACCCCAGCGCCGCAUAAAUGAAUAUUGUGCCGCUCAGAGGGGUGCUAACUGCCUCCUCCAUGUUUACAUGUGCCUGAGUCUGCCGGAAUAGACGCAUGUGGACUGGUGAGCUGAGGGAGCCAGGGGUCAGUGUUAAGGAAGCCUUCCUACUAGACAUUUCUUACGCGGGUUUCUUCCUGGCCAUUCAAGAGAGGCAGUUGGUGGUGUGGCUUGCACAAGAAAUGCAUUGUAAACUCAUUCCGCAAAUUGUGGAGGCCAAGUGCGCCAGGGAGCAGAGGCCAUGGGGAGUGAGGCCUUCUUUAGUUUGAACCAAGGCCUGUGUCUCUUAAACACUCCUGGGGUGAGUUGGCAGUCGCAGUCUAGCCAAUGCUGGCUGAAAAGUCAGAGGACCAAGAAAGUGCGGUGAUUCAGGCUUCUCCCCCGCUCCCCUGGGUGGGUCGGUGGUCAGACCUCCCCAGAGUGCCCAGGCCACUCCUGCCACUCAGACUCAGAACCCAGCUGCAACAGAAGACCAACCAACACUUAGGCUUUCAUUUUCAUCUUUAAAAUUAAAGAACAAUUUUAUUGAAUAAAUUUGACAUAACGUUGUGUCAGUUUAAAA
This is a long non-coding RNA of Equus caballus (horse), 1720 nucleotides long. RefSeq lists it as uncharacterized. The record is from RefSeq and is a predicted model, not a curated record. NCBI's taxonomy places the organism in Eukaryota, Metazoa, Chordata, Mammalia, Perissodactyla, Equidae.